UACGUAGGGGGCAAGCGUUGUCCGGAUUUAUUGGGCGUAAAGAGCGUGUAGGCGGCCAGACCGGUCCGUUGUGAAAACUGGAGGCUCAACCUUCAGACGUCGACGGAAACCGUCUGGCUAGAGUCCGGAAGAGGAGAGUGGAAUUCCUGGUGUAGCGGUGAAAUGCGCAGAUAUCAGGAAGAACACCGAUGGCGAAGGCAGCUCUCUGGGACGGUACUGACGCUGAGACGCGAAAGCGUGGGGAGCGAACAGG
Molecule: ribosomal RNA, 253 nt
Filed under: uncultured bacterium
Lineage: Bacteria
Description: partial 16S ribosomal RNA
Rfam family: Bacterial small subunit ribosomal RNA
Source: RNAcentral